RNAcentral lists this unclassified non-coding RNA (334 nucleotides) under soil metagenome. Its description in RNAcentral is "partial contains 5.8S ribosomal RNA, internal transcribed spacer 2, and large subunit ribosomal RNA". The stretch from base 1 to 120 matches the Rfam family "5.8S ribosomal RNA", at positions 35 to 154 of the family's 154-position model. The record is from RNAcentral.
GAUGAAGAACGCAGCGAAAUGCGAUAAGUAAUGUGAAUUGCAGAAUUCAGUGAAUCAUCGAAUCUUUGAACGCACAUUGCGCCCGCCAGUAUUCUGGCGAGCAUGCCUGUUCGAGCGUCAUUUCAACCAUCAAGCCCCAGGCUUGUGUUGGAGCCCUGCGGCUGCCGCAGCCACCCAAAACCAGUGGCGGGCUCGCUAUCACACCGAGUGCAGUAGUUUACUCUUCGCUCAGGGCGUGUGGCGGGUGCUAGCCGUGAAACCCCCAACUUCUCAAGGUUGACCUCGGAUCAGGUAGGAAUACCCGCUGAACUUAAGCAUAUCAAUAAGCGGAGGA